RNAcentral lists this ribosomal RNA (792 nucleotides) under uncultured archaeon. Its description in RNAcentral is "bacterial SSU rRNA". It matches the Rfam family "Archaeal small subunit ribosomal RNA", at positions 85 to 879 of the family's 1478-position model. The record is from RNAcentral.
ACUGCUCAGUAACACGUAGUCAACCUAACUCGUGGACGUGGAUAACCUCGGGAAACUGAGAAUAAACCACGAUAGAUCAUAGUGCCUGGAAUGGCUUAUGGUCCAAACAGUUUACUGCCAUGGGAUGGGACUGCGGCCUAUCAGCUUGUUGGUGAGGUAAUGGCCCACCAAGGCGAUUACAGGUACGGGCUCUGAGAGGAGAAGCCCGGAGAUGGGUACUGAGACACGGACCCAGGCCCUAUGGGGCGCAGCAGGCGAGAAACCUUAGCAAUGUGCGAAAGCACGACUGGGUCAGUCCGAGUGAUUCCUGAUAAAGGAGUCUUUUGCUUGUCCUAAAAGCACAGGUGAAUAAGGGGUGGGCAAGUCUGGUGUCAGCCGCCGCGGUAAUACCAGCACCUCGAGUGGUCAGGACGUUUAUUGGGCCUAAAGCAUCCGUAGCCGGCUUUGCAAGUCUUCGGUUAAAUCCACCUGCUCAACAGAUGGGCCGCUGGAGAUACUACAGAGCUAGGGAGUGGGAGAGGCAGACGGUAUUCAGUGGGUAGGGGUAAAAUCCUCUGAUCCAUUGAGGACCACCAGUGGCGAAGGCGGUCUGCCAGAACACGUUCGACGGUGAGGGAUGAAAGCUGGGGGAGCAAACCGGAUUAGAUACCCGGGUAGUCCCAGCUGUAAACGAUGCAAACUCGGUGAUGCAUUGGCUUAUGGCCAAUGCAGUGCCGCAGGGAAGCCGUUAAGUUUGCCGCCUGGGAAGUACGGACGCAAGUCUGAAACUUAAAGGAAUUGGCGGGGGAGCAC